AUGAACGCUGGCGGCGUGCCUAAUACCUGCAAGUCGAGCGAACGGACGAGAAGCUUGCUUCUCUGAUGUUAGCGGCGGACGGGUGAGUAACACGUGGAUAACCUACCUAUAAGACUGGGAUAACUUCGGGAAACCGGAGCUAAUACCGGAUGAUAUUUUGAACCGCAUGGUUCAAAAGUGAAAGACGGUCUUGCUGUCACUUAUAGAUGGAUCCGCGCUGCAUUAGCUAGUUGGUAAGGUAACGGCUUACCAAGGCAACGAUGCAUAGCCGACCUGAGAGGGUGAUCGGCCACACUGGAACUGAGACACGGUCCAGACUCCUACGGGAGGCAGCAGUAGGGAAUCUUCCGCAAUGGGCGAAAGCCUGGCGGAGCAACGCCGCGUGAGUGAUGAAGGUCUUCGGAUCGUAAAACUCUGUUAUUAGGGAAGAACAUAUGUGUAAGUAACUGUGCACAUCUUGACGGUACCUAAUCAGAAAGCCACGGCUAACUACGUG
This 496-nucleotide ribosomal RNA is filed under the name uncultured bacterium. RNAcentral's name for it is "partial 16S ribosomal RNA". It matches the Rfam family "Bacterial small subunit ribosomal RNA", at positions 29 to 507 of the family's 1533-position model. The record is from RNAcentral.